GACGAACGCUGGCGGCGUGCCUAAUACAUGCAAGUUGAGCGCUGAAGGUUGGUACUUGUAUCAACUGGAUGAGCAGCGAACGGGUGAGUAACGCGUGGGGAAUCUGCCUUUGAGCGGGGGACAACAUUUGGAAACGAAUGCUAAUACCGCAUAAAAACUUUAAACACAAGUUUUAAGUUUGAAAGAUGCAAUUGCAUCACUCAAAGAUGAUCCCUCGUUGUAUUAGCUAGUUGGUGAGGUAAAGGCUCACCAAGGCGAUGAUACAUAGCCGACCUGAGAGGGUGAUCGGCCACAUUGGGACUGAGACACGGCCCAAACUCCUACGAGAGGCAGCAGUAGGGAAUCUUCAGCAAUGGACGAAAGUCUGAACGAGAAACGCCGCGUGAGUGAAGAAGGUUUUCGGAUCGUAAAACUCUGUUGGUAGAGAAGAACGUUGGUGAGAGUGGAAAGCUCAUCAAGUGACGGUAACUACACAGAAAGGGACGGCUAACUACGUG
RNAcentral lists this ribosomal RNA (497 nucleotides) under uncultured bacterium. RNAcentral's name for it is "partial 16S ribosomal RNA". It matches the Rfam family "Bacterial small subunit ribosomal RNA", at positions 28 to 507 of the family's 1533-position model. The record is from RNAcentral.